This 942-nucleotide long non-coding RNA is filed under the name Marmota monax (woodchuck). The record is from RNAcentral. Lineage: Eukaryota; Metazoa; Chordata; Mammalia; Rodentia; Sciuridae.
UGAUAGGAUCCACUUUCACAGUUGCUCACUCCAGUGAGUGGCAUCUUCCUCUACUCUGUCUAAUCCAGAAACCUGGCUUAACUAUCUCUCAAUGUCCUCAUUCCCCAUGUGCAAUUCUGCCUGCUUAUACUCAUCAACCCUAUUUCUUAGUUCUUUUUUUCUCCUGGGGAUGGAGAUAUUCUAGGCACAGCCAACUACCACCAAACUACACCCCUAUCUCCUUACUUUUUACUUCUAUUUCUUCUGUCACUAGUCCAGCCUAAAUUAUCAUUAUUUCUCUUCUGGAAUAGUAAAGUAGCCUCCGAGACUUCUUGACCCUUCUCAUCCAUUCUCCAUACACAGCCAGAGUGCUGUUAAACAUAGUUAUGAUUUUACCACUCUCCUGAUUCUUAUUGACCUAAGCAUGAAGACAAAAAUAAUUAACUUAUCAUAUCUUCUACCAUCACCUCUAAGUCUCCAGAUGUAAGACCCAUUUCAUUCCCCAAAUGCAUGCUGCAGUUAACAAGUGCCACAUGGCACUUAAUGUGGUUGGGAUUUUCCCUACUGUGCUGUGAGAUUCUUGAGGACCAAGACCUUGUCCUCUUCGCCAUGGUAACAUCAUUGUCUACCACAAUGUUCAGCAUAGAAUUGGCCCCUUUUUUUGUUGCAUGAAGGCAUAAAUGAGUGAAUAAAUGCAGCUGCUUAUAACCCAAGAGUCCAGGAAAUAGUUCUGUGUGUUAGUUGAAGCAAAAUUUACAAAAUACUCAUUAUAUCAAAAAUAUCUAAAUAAUAAAAAUGUGUCCCUGGAGUAGAAGACAAAUUAGAACUAAACUGUGUAUAAAAAUAGAUAAUUUAUCUUUGUUAUAAUUUCAUUGUAGUCUGAAAAAAGUACAUGAUGCUUGCUCCAAACUUCACUUGAACACUUUAGUAGUUGUUCUAAUAAAUGACAAGAAUUUGAGUACA